Rana temporaria (common frog) is the source of this 934-nucleotide long non-coding RNA. RefSeq lists it as uncharacterized. The record is from RefSeq and is a predicted model, not a curated record. The transcript is spliced from 4 exons. Lineage: Eukaryota; Metazoa; Chordata; Amphibia; Anura; Ranidae.
UUUUUUUUUUUUUUCUGCUAUGUACCAUUGGCUUACUAGGCAAAUGCUCAAGACAGCUCCUUGUUAGCUGUUUGUAAUUGCUGCUGAUUUUUCUGCUCAGCACGGUGCACACCUUGUUUGUGUCAUCAGCUGUGCAGACUUCCAGCACGGCCCAUCUGCAGUACUGCUAUGAGUGGUUGUCCAUGUAUGGGCGGCACAUUCUACACUCCACCUAUAUCAUUAAGGGAUUUUUCUUUCAGUCAUUACUUAACAUGUGAUGCAUCAUACAGCUGAUGCGGUCACAUGGUAUCUUUUUAACCAAUGAGAGUUAUAGCCAUGCUAUAUAAGAACGCCGGGGAGUUUGAAUGGUGUCAUUCUCCCUCCUCAGCAUUUGCAAGGAGCAUCUAAUUGAUCUCUGUACAACAUCCAUAAGAAGGUGCUUUCCACCCAGGAUCUCGCUGCUGGAAGUCCUUUUGGUUUACAUACUUAUAUAUAUGCUGGAUAAUCUCCACAGGUUACAUAUUCUUUGGGGCACCUUUUUCUCUCCAUAUGGAAAACAUUUCAUCUUGAGAGUUAGUCCACUUUUCCAUCAAAUUCACUCUUUUAAACGCCUUUUUUGACCUUUUUGGUCUCAAUCUCUGAUGAGAUAGUGUUUGGCGAUUUUAUGUGGAUUUGGAUUACGGAUCGGCUUGGGGAUCUUGGGUCAGCACUGUGGAGGUUAUUUCAGGUGUAGAAUGGAGACACAGCCAUAGGCACUACGAAACAGUAAAGACACUUUACAUCCCUGAUGAAGAUCAAACUUUGAAAGUUUUUUCGGAAACGCGUCGGAUCAGUCCAUCUUUCAGAAAUUCACCUCUUUGGGGUGAAUUUCAUGUUGUAACAUGGCAUAGUGUCAAUCUGUCUAUUUAUAUGUUUUCAAUGUAAAUGUUUUGUUUUCUUUCCACCAAUUUUGUAU